UUCCAGACUCCUACGGGGGGCAGCAGUGAGGAAUAUUGGUCAAUGGGCGAGAGCCUGAACCAGCCAAGUCGCGUGAGGGAGUACUGCCCUAUGGGUUGUAAACCUCUUUUGUCGGGGAGCAAAAGCCGGACGUGUCCGGCUGUGAGAGUACCCGAAGAAAAAGCAUCGGCUAACUCCGUGCCAGCAGCCGCGGUAAUACGGAGGAUCCGAGCGUUAUCCGGAUUUAUUGGGUUUAAAGGGAGCGUAGGUGGAUUGUUAAGUCAGUUGUGAAAGUUUGCGGCUCAACCGUAAAAUUGCAGUUGAAACUGGCGUGCUCGAGUUGGAGAGAAGUAUGCGGAAUUCGUGGUGUAGCGGUGAAAUGCAUAGAUAUCACGAAGAACCCCGAUUGCGAAGGCAGCAUACCGGCUCCACACUGACGCUGAGGCACGAAAGCGUGGGUAUCGAACAGGAUUAGAUACCCCGGUA
Molecule: ribosomal RNA, 465 nt
Filed under: uncultured bacterium
Lineage: Bacteria
Description: bacterial SSU rRNA
Rfam family: Bacterial small subunit ribosomal RNA
Source: RNAcentral